RNAcentral lists this unclassified non-coding RNA (240 nucleotides) under soil metagenome. Its description in RNAcentral is "partial contains 5.8S ribosomal RNA, internal transcribed spacer 2, and large subunit ribosomal RNA". The record is from RNAcentral.
AAGACUAUAGACCUGCGGAGUACCUGCGGAAGGAUCAUUACAGAGUUCAUGCCCUCACGGGUAGAUCUCCCACCCUUGCGUAUUUAUACCUUUGUUGCUUUGGCAGGCCGCCUGGGCUCGCGCCUGGCCACCGGCUCUUGGGCUGGUGCGUGCCUGCCAGAGGAUCUCCAAACUCUAGUUAUCAGUGUUGUCUGAGUACUAUACAAUAGUUAAAACUUUUAGCAAUGGAUCUCUAGAUCG